Molecule: non-coding RNA, 29 nt
Filed under: Bombyx mori (domestic silkworm)
Lineage: Eukaryota; Metazoa; Arthropoda; Insecta; Lepidoptera; Bombycidae
Source: RNAcentral
UCAAUUCUGCUUGUCAUAUGCAUGGAUGC